RNAcentral lists this long non-coding RNA (686 nucleotides) under Heterocephalus glaber (naked mole-rat). Its description in RNAcentral is "lncRNA (ENSHGLG00100046211.1)". The record is from RNAcentral. Lineage: Eukaryota; Metazoa; Chordata; Mammalia; Rodentia; Bathyergidae.
GAGGACGCAUGCAGAGGCUCAGGAAGGACCGGAGUCAUCGCAGCCCUCGCAGAAGUCCAGCCACCUGGGCCUGGAGAUGGCGCCAACUGAAGUCCGGCAGGCACAUCCGACCCUGCAGACCUUGCAUCUGCCUGAACCACCAGGGACUCAUCUGAGACACAGACGGCCCCACAGGCUCUGUCUGCAGUGGCCAGGCCUCGGACUUUUGGGGGUCCUGGCCCCCAGCUGCCACUCACUUGACCUGCCCCGCCCCUGCUGCUCACCCUCCGUGUGAUUGGCUCUACCAGCUGCUGGAUAGGGCCUGCUGGCUUUGAUUCCCUCAGAUCCCAGCCUGUGGGAAGCUAUAGCCCCACACUGUAAGACCUCCAGGCCCACACAGAGGGACCGCUUUGAUCUCAUCUGAGCACAGACACAAAUAUCACAGGGCACAAACAUGAUGCCAUGAAACAGCCCCACUGAAGAACAUAUGCAGUGGGAUUCAGGUCAGAGAUAUGGAAUUCAGCUCACAGUUGCUGCUCUUCUCACUGCAUGCCCUGGCUCUUUGAAUCUUCUCUGGACCUGAGAGCUGCCAGGUAGGGGAAUCCUUUAUUUUAUUUGCUCAAAUAAACUGCUAAGUUUCACUUAUCUAAGAGUUUUUUCUUUUUAAUAUUAACCAUGGGAUAGACACUGAAAUUUUAUUUCAGUGU